GACGAACGCUGGCGGCGUGCCUAAUACAUGCAAGUAGAACGCUGAAGCGAGGAGCUUGCUCUUCUUGGAUGAGUUGCGAACGGGUGAGUAACGCGUAGGUAACCUGCCUUGUAGCGGGGGAUAACUAUUGGAAACGAUAGCUAAUACCGCAUAACAAUGGAUGACACAUGUCAUUUAUUUGAAAGGGGCAAUUGUUCCACUACAAGAUGGACCUGCGUUGUAUUAGCUAGUAGGUGAGGUAAUGGCUCACCUAGGCGACGAUACAUAGCCGACCUGAGAGGGUGGUCGGCCCCACUGGGACUGAGACACGGCCCAGACUCCUACGGGAGGCAGCAGUAGGGAAUCUUCGGAAAUGGGGGCAACCCUGACCGAGCAACGCCGCGUGAGUGAAGAAGGUUUUCGGAUCGUAAAGCUCUGUUGUAAGUCAAGAAAGGGUGUGAGAGUGGAAAGUUCACACUGUGACGGUAGCUUAACAGAAAGGGACGGCUAACUACGUG
RNAcentral lists this ribosomal RNA (497 nucleotides) under uncultured bacterium. RNAcentral's name for it is "partial 16S ribosomal RNA". It matches the Rfam family "Bacterial small subunit ribosomal RNA", at positions 28 to 507 of the family's 1533-position model. The record is from RNAcentral.